UUUUUUGUUUGAGAAACUUUAUGGAUUUCUCGUGGAUGAAAAUGCCCUAAAUAUUUAGUUGAAAUUGUAAGAGUGAUGAAUCAUAUAUAUGAAAGUUGGUCAACUCUCUUCAUAUGAGUGAUCAUACAAGAAAAUGACAUGUGUCAUUCUACAUUAAUUAAAUAAACAAAU
This 171-nucleotide small RNA is filed under the name Arabidopsis thaliana (thale cress). RNAcentral's name for it is "ATSL148220". Lineage: Eukaryota; Viridiplantae; Streptophyta; Magnoliopsida; Brassicales; Brassicaceae. The record is from RNAcentral.